RNAcentral lists this ribosomal RNA (396 nucleotides) under uncultured bacterium. RNAcentral's name for it is "partial 16S ribosomal RNA". It matches the Rfam family "Bacterial small subunit ribosomal RNA", at positions 523 to 918 of the family's 1533-position model. The record is from RNAcentral.
AUACAGAGGGUGCAAGCGUUAAUCGGAUUUACUGGGCGUAAAGCGCGCGUAGGUGGCUAAUUAAGUCAAAUGUGAAAUCCCCGAGCUUAACUUGGGAAUUGCAUUCGAUACUGGUUAGCUAGAAUAUGGGAGAGGAUGGUAGAAUUCCAGGUGUAGCGGUGAAAUGCGUAGAGAUCUGGAGGAAUACCGAUGUCAAAGGCAGCCAUCGGGCCUAAUACUAACACUGAGUGGCGAAAGCAUGGGGAGCAAACAGGAUUAGAUACCCUGGUAGUCCAUGCCGUAAACGAUGUCUACUAGCCGUUGGGGCCCUUGAGGCUUUAGUGGCGCAGCUAACGCGAUAAGUAGACCGCCUGGGGAGUACGGUCGCAAGACUAAAACUCAAAUGAAUUGACGGGG